CCUACGGGUGGCAGCAGUGAGGAAUAUUGGUCAAUGGGCGCGAGCCUGAACCAGCCAAGUCGCGUGAGGGAAGACGGUCCUAUGGAUUGUAAACCUCUUUUGUCAGGGAGCAAUGGCGUCCACGUGUGGGCGUAUGGAGAGUACCUGAAGAAAAAGCAUCGGCUAACUCCGUGCCAGCAGCCGCGGUAAUACGGAGGAUGCGAGCGUUAUCCGGAUUUAUUGGGUUUAAAGGGUGCGUAGGCGGGACCUUAAGUCAGCGGUAAAAUUGCGGUGCUCAACGCCGUAGAGCCGUUGAAACUGGUGUUCUUGAGUGAGCGAGAAGUAGGCGGAAUGCGUGGUGUAGCGGUGAAAUGCAUAGAUAUCACGCAGAACCCCGAUUGCGAAGGCAGCAUACCGGCGCUCAACUGACGCUGAGGCACGAAAGUGCGGGUAUCGAACAGGAUUAGAUACCCCAGUAGUC
This 460-nucleotide ribosomal RNA is filed under the name uncultured bacterium. RNAcentral describes it as "partial 16S ribosomal RNA". It matches the Rfam family "Bacterial small subunit ribosomal RNA", at positions 338 to 795 of the family's 1533-position model. The record is from RNAcentral.